AUUGAACGCUGGCGGCAUGCCUUACACAUGCAAGUCGAACGGAUCUAGGGGCUUGCUCCUAGGUUAGUGGCGAACGGGUGAGUAAUGCAUCGGAACGUACCCAGUCGUGGGGGAUAACGUAGCGAAAGUUACGCUAAUACCGCAUACGAUCUGAGGAUGAAAGCGGGGGACCUUCGGGCCUCGUGCGAUUGGAGCGGCCGAUGUCGGAUUAGCUAGUUGGUGAGGUAAAGGCUCACCAAGGCGACGAUCCGUAGCUGGUCUGAGAGGACGACCAGCCACACUGGAACUGAGACACGGUCCAGACUCCUACGGGAGGCAGCAGUGGGGAAUUUUGGACAAUGGGCGAAAGCCUGAUCCAGCCAUGCCGCGUGAGUGAAGAAGGCCUUCGGGUUGUAAAGCUCUUUCAGACGGAAAGAAAUCUCCUGGGUGAAUAUCCCGGGAGGAUGACGGUACCGUAAGAAGAAGCACCGGCUAACUACGUGCCAGCAGCCGCCGUAA
RNAcentral lists this ribosomal RNA (498 nucleotides) under uncultured bacterium. RNAcentral describes it as "partial 16S ribosomal RNA". It matches the Rfam family "Bacterial small subunit ribosomal RNA", at positions 30 to 523 of the family's 1533-position model. The record is from RNAcentral.